Brassica oleracea var. oleracea is the source of this 98-nucleotide microRNA precursor. It matches the Rfam family "MIR9563 microRNA precursor family". NCBI's taxonomy places the organism in Eukaryota, Viridiplantae, Streptophyta, Magnoliopsida, Brassicales, Brassicaceae. The record is from Rfam.
GGAAUAUAAGAACCCGUCUCUUAACUUUUAACUAAAAAAACUAAGAACCGGUUCUUAGUUUUUUUAGUUAAAAGUUAAGAGACGGGUUCUUAUAUUCC